UCCUAGCCUAUUCUCUCCUCUUGCCCCUGCCGUGUGCCUCGCAAGUGUACAGCGCCGCCGCCGCCCAACAUCGUCUCCAGAUCGACUCCUCCCGCGCCCUUCUGGCUGCUGCCGUCCACUGCCACAGUGCCACCCCUCCGCCGGUCGCGCGCGUCACCCAACUGUCCCGUUCCAUCUCCUGCGUGCCACCCUCCGUCCCGUUCCAUCUCCCACGCGCGCGAGCUCCAGGAGUAACAUCGCCAAGGGGCCCUGCAGUCCCUCCCGUCGGAGUGAGCCGACAUUAUUCAGCACACAAUUUGGGGAAUAACAAGAAUCUUCAUCAGAAAAUGGAAGAACCAACCAAUUUGCUUCAGUUCGGCCCUGCUCAGCUAGCUUUACAUUUUAUUCAGUUCCUUGACAUGCAACAGAGAAUAAUGUAACCAAGGAGAAAGGGAUUUUCCUUCUUACUGAUCUCUCAAGGGUGUUUGACCUGCCUGCACACGAGAUAUGGGCCAUAUGGCAAAGUCAUGAAGCUAUGUAGUGGUACAGCCUCUGGCUGAAAUGACCAGGGUAUCACCGGAGAAGAUUGCAGUUUACUUUGGUAGUUGUUUUAAAUAGUUAUCAAGUUGAAUAUUAAUGUACUAUAUGUAAUAGCAGUGCCUCGCGUGUGACUGAGAGAAUAUUCUAGGGUCGGUGACUUUGAUUUUCAUUGGUCCUUUUUGUUUAGUCACGUUGCUGCAGACAACAACGUGUUUCGAACAAUAAAAUUUAUCGGAAAUCUAUUACCUUUUGUCUGUACA
Long non-coding RNA from Brachypodium distachyon (stiff brome), 779 nucleotides. RefSeq lists it as uncharacterized. The transcript is spliced from 4 exons. The record is from RefSeq and is a predicted model, not a curated record. Lineage: Eukaryota; Viridiplantae; Streptophyta; Magnoliopsida; Poales; Poaceae.